Molecule: small RNA, 895 nt
Filed under: Pongo abelii (Sumatran orangutan)
Lineage: Eukaryota; Metazoa; Chordata; Mammalia; Primates; Hominidae
Description: processed transcript
Source: RNAcentral
GUGGCGGCGGCGGCUCGGGUGGCUGCGCUGAGAGGCGGCGGUGAGAGGCUCGCACGCCUCCAGCCCGGCCCCGGCCCCCCGGGACGGAGAGCCGAGCAGCCCCGGCUCUGGGCUACGGACUAUGGGCGAACAGCUCUGACCACCCGGCGAAGUGCACACACCCAGAAGCUAUGUCCUUCGGCAGUAAAAGUUUUAUAGCACAAUAUAUGUGCUCUGCUCUCCUCCCGCAAUCCUGCUCCAAGAGAUCUUAAGCUGGAGGCACCAGGUCUGAAUUCCAGACUCCUCCCCACCACCCACACUUCACCUCCAACUGGAGCAUGACCACAGACCUAUUCAGAGAGGCUGGCAGCCUCUUCAUCCUGGACAGUCCCUUACUGUAUGCCAAAGCUGAGAAUGAAGCGGAGAGCAUCAGACAGAGGAGCUGGGGAAACGUCGGCCAGGGCCAAGGCUCUAGGAAGUGGGAUUUCUGGAAAUAAUGCAAAGAGAGCUGGACCAUUCAUCCUUGCUCUCUGUGCCGUAGGUCCCCGUCUGGGCAACUCACCGGUGCCAAGCAUAGUGCAGUGUUUGGCGAGGAAAGAUGGCACAGAUGACUUCUAUCAGCUGAAGAUCCUGACCCUGGAGGAGAGGGGAGACCAAGGCAUAGAGAGCCAGGAAGAGCGGCAGGGCAAGAUGCUGCUGCACACCGAGUACUCGCUGCUGUCUCUCCUGCACACGCAGGACGGCGUGGUGCACCACCACGGCCUCUUCCAGGACCGCACCUGUGAAAUCGUUGAGGACACAGAAUCCAGCCGGAUGGUUAAGAAGAUGAAGAAGCGCAUCUGCCUCGUCCUGGACUGCCUCUGUGCUCAUGACUUCAGCGACAAGACCGCUGACCUCAUCAACCUGCAGCACUACG